CGUACGAGCGCACCCUUGUCCCUAGUUGCCAGCACUUCGGGUGGGAACUCUAGGGAGACUGCCGGUGAUAAACCGGAGGAAGGUGGGGAUGACGUCAAGUCAUCAUGGCCCUUAUGGGGAGGGCUACACACGUGCUACAAUGGCCGGUACAGAGGGCUGCGAAGCCGCGAGGUGGAGCGAAUCUCAGAAAACCGGUCGUAGUCCGGAUUGCAGUCUGCAACUCGACUGCAUGAAGCCGGAAUCGCUAGUAAUCGCGGAUCAGAGCGCCGCGGUGAAUACGUUCCCGGGCCUUGUACACACCGCCCGUCACACCAUGGGAGUGGGCUGUACCAGAAGUAGGUAGUCUAACCUUCGGGAGGACGCUUACCACGGUGUGGUUCAUGACUGGGGUGAAGUCGUAACAAGGUAGCCCUAGGGGAACCUGGGGCUGGAUCA
RNAcentral lists this ribosomal RNA (435 nucleotides) under uncultured Chromatiales bacterium. RNAcentral describes it as "bacterial SSU rRNA". It matches the Rfam family "Bacterial small subunit ribosomal RNA", at positions 1089 to 1525 of the family's 1533-position model. Lineage: Bacteria; Pseudomonadati; Pseudomonadota; Gammaproteobacteria; Chromatiales. The record is from RNAcentral.